RNAcentral lists this microRNA (22 nucleotides) under Oryza sativa (Asian cultivated rice). RNAcentral describes it as "osa-miR1850.3". The record is from miRBase by way of RNAcentral. RNAcentral also lists the same sequence under 1 other name. Lineage: Eukaryota; Viridiplantae; Streptophyta; Magnoliopsida; Poales; Poaceae.
CUGUUUAGUUCACAUCAAUCUU